GUGGCGCGGGAGGAUGUGAGCUCAGACAUUUUGCGAGUGAGUCUCGUCUUGGGGAUUAAGUGGGGCAGCUCGAAAUCUAGGAUGAUAGAAAUGCUUUAACGUUAUCAGUAAAGAUCUCUACAACUUAAAACAAGGGGAGGGUUUCUUUGUUUCAGACGAUAAAAGAUAAAAGAAAAAAAAAUGGUUGAGCCUAGAGUAGUGCUGGAGGUUGAGGACUCAAGUUCAAGGCCAUCCUGGACGCCGUCACACUGUCUCGAAAAUGCCAGUUGGUGCCAAGAGGCCAGGCAUGUGUGCUCUGAGAGACCUCACCAUCCUUGCUGGCCUGCGUGGGGACCCAGGGUUCUGAGCUCUUCCAGCUGCACAGACCUCAGGCUGCCGCACACCUCCGCUCCACAGCUGGACGAGACCAAAGCCAGCCACCAGGUGUUCCUCGGGCAUGGCGGCUCUUAUGGACGAGAGAUCUAGAAAUUCCUUGGAGGAGAUCUGCCUCAAAGCCUCCAGUGAAUUUGGAUCCUGCCCCACCCCCGCAAAAACAAAAACAAAACCUUCAUUUGCUGCACAGCAUGAAAAAAAGGUAGUUUGAGCCCAGGCAGUGGUAGCGCACGCCUUUAAUCCCAGCCGUAGGGAGGCAGAGGCAGACGAUCUCUGUGAGUUUGAGGCCAGCCUGGUCUGCAGAGCUAGUUCCAAGACAGGCUCCAAAAGCUACAGAGAAACCCUGCCUUGAAAAACCAAACAAAAAAGAUGAAGAACCUGUACAGGAAAAAGCUCUCAAUCCCCUGUAAUUCCAGCUCUGAGGGUUCUGUUAACUUCUUCCAAAUUCUGAGGCCCCUGUGUGCACAUGGUAUUUACACACAGCCACACACACAGAUGCACGCAAAUGAACAUGAAAGUAAAUUUUUUUUUUUUCGAGACAGGGUUUCUUUGUGGUUUUGGAGCCUGUCCUGGAACUAGGUCUUGUAGACCAGGCUGGUCUCGAACUCACAGAGAUCCGCCUGCCUCUGCCUCCCGAGUGCUGGGAUUAAAGGCGUGUGCCACCAUCGCCCGGCUCCUGAAAGUAAAUUUUAAGAAGUA
Molecule: long non-coding RNA, 1071 nt
Organism: Alexandromys fortis (reed vole)
Lineage: Eukaryota; Metazoa; Chordata; Mammalia; Rodentia; Cricetidae
Exons: 3
Source: RefSeq, a predicted model, not a curated record